GACGAACGCUGACGGCAUGCCUAACACAUGCAAGUCGAGCGAGCAGAUCCCUUCGGGGUGAAGCUAGCGGCGGACGGGUGAGUAACACGUGGGCAACCUGCCUCAUAGAGGGGAAUAGCCUUCCGAAAGGAAGAUUAAUACCGCAUAAGAUUGCAUCUUCGCAUGAAGAAGCAAUUAAAGGAGCAAUCCGCUAUGAGAUGGGCCCGCGGCGCAUUAGCUAGUUGGUGAGGUAACGGCUAACGAAGGCGACGAUGCGUAGCCGACCUGAGAGGGUGGUCGGCCACAUUGGGACUGAGACAAGGCACAGACUCCUACGGGAGGCAGCAGUGGGGAAUAGUGCACAAUGGAGGAAACCUUGAUGCAGCAAUGCCGCGUGAGUGAUGACGGCCUUCACGUUGUAAAGCUCUGUCUUCGGGGACGAUAAUGACGGUACCCGAGGAGGAAGCCACGGAUAACUACGUGCCAGCAGCCGCCGUAA
This 478-nucleotide ribosomal RNA is filed under the name uncultured bacterium. RNAcentral's name for it is "partial 16S ribosomal RNA". It matches the Rfam family "Bacterial small subunit ribosomal RNA", at positions 28 to 523 of the family's 1533-position model. The record is from RNAcentral.